CUGCACUCCGUUCCCAGCGAAUGCUCGCGACGCAGGGGGAACAAAUUUUGUCGGUGACACCUACCUUGGCACAGCAGAGUGAAGCUGACCCCCCACCCACUUGAAACGUAAAGGCAGUUAGUGCUUUGUUUGUGCUGAUUUGUGCAGUAAACCAAUUUAGUCAGCGGAAAGGUCGAUAUUUCUGAUGCUACCAGAAACGUACACAAGGUUGCCACCUACAUGUAGAAAAUUGAAUAUUCCACAGCACCUAGGCGAGGGAUCAUCAACCUGUGGCUCUAAAGCCACAUGUGGCUCUCUGGCCCCUCCACUGUGGCUCUUAUAAGAGCAAAUGCUCCUGUCACUCCAUUUCCCAGGUCAUCAUAGAACUCCGACACAGAUGGAGCUCUCCUGCAGUAUGCAGUGUAAUGCCCCAAACCACCACUAGUCAUCUUUACAUGUAAAGCAAUUAAUGCCCUCAAAGUGAACGACUUUCCUUGGAGAACCAGGUUGGAGGGAAAUUCACUUAAUGGAAAUUCUGUUUGGUUUGCAAAAGAUUGAUUGGAGAGUGGCCUGAGGCAGGUAGACUCAGGUAGGCCAAGUCCUGCUUCCACAGCAGUGCCAAGAUGAGCCAUACCAGACUCUUUGAGGACACAGAUAGCAGGACAAACAAAUGGCUCUUCCCUUUUCAUCCCUUUUCUGAGGUAGCAGUGCUGUGAAGAGCAGUGUUUUGUAAAAUAAACACUUGAUAUGUUCCUCAUUGCCUUAGCAAUUACAGCGGAGACAUUGCACUGAGCAUCGAUUUGGAUUUCACCAGACAUCAACUGGACAGCUUCAAACAUUACACUAAGCAGCUCUGCCCUCCUUUAUGUUUGUUGGGUCA
This is a long non-coding RNA of Oreochromis niloticus (Nile tilapia), 859 nucleotides long. RefSeq lists it as uncharacterized. NCBI's taxonomy places the organism in Eukaryota, Metazoa, Chordata, Actinopteri, Cichliformes, Cichlidae. The transcript has 5 exons. The record is from RefSeq and is a predicted model, not a curated record.